Molecule: non-coding RNA, 1305 nt
Organism: Nothobranchius furzeri (turquoise killifish)
Lineage: Eukaryota; Metazoa; Chordata; Actinopteri; Cyprinodontiformes; Nothobranchiidae
Source: RefSeq, a predicted model, not a curated record
CACACACACACACGCACCCCCCCCCCCACCACACACACACACACACACACACACACACACACACACACACACACACACACACACACACACACCAAUUAAAAUAAUGCUGAUAGCGUGGACUAGAAGACAGGUGAUGGUUUACGUAUUUAAAUGAUGAUCAGGCUGCUGUAAAAUGUAAUCUCCAUCCACAUCCAGACAGAAUUAUCCUCUAUUCUGUCUCUAGUUGCUCUGCUCUUGUCUGGGCUGACGUAGCUGACGGUGCACGCGACGCGCCUAACUAGCGGCUGAUGCACAUUUUACGCAUUUGGAGAGGUGGGCUGGAUGCUUUGCUUUUACUGGAAGAUGGUCCACUUAAUGCACGGGUGUAGACUACAUAUUAAUGACAAAUGAAUGAAAAUUAAAUUGGGAGUUUUUACUUCAUAUUUUAGAAAUAAAAAUGACGGGGGAACACAUUUAUGACGUCUUUUUAAACAAAAUUUUCUAGCGCGUCCUGCCUGCUGCACUUAAGUCACUGCCUAUUAAGGUCCGUCCAGAAUUACCGUGGCCCACCCUAACUCAAACUCAGACUUUGUUAGAGCUGAAACAACUAAUCGAUUUAAUCGAUUAUAAUCGAUUAUUAAAAUAGUUAACAACUUUUUUAGUCAUCGAUUAGUUGUUUAAUAAUCAUAUUGUACCGCAUAAAGUCUAUUUUUUACCACAAUCUGACAUCGGUUACAAUCUGUUAAAUUUGCCGCCAGUGUGUGGCAGUAAUGAGCCACUGAUCUACCAGUGGGGCCGUAGAAGAAGAAAUUAGCCAAUAAGUGCCCUCGGUUUUCAUGACGUAUCACGUUACUGACGCGCAUCUUGCUGUGAGAGAUGGCGGAUCAACAACAAAUACGGAAGAAAAAUAGAAGCGACAAAACAAGAGAAACCCCGGACAAAAACCUCACGAGUAUGGGAGCACUUCACUAGAUGCCUUGAAAAGACCGGUGACAUACAAAAUAUGCAAAAACCAUGGCACGACGGAAGCACGACGUCCCUAAGUGAACAUUUGAGACGAAAACGUGGGGGCUGAUGCAGCAGAGGAAUGUCCGAAAAAAACAAGCAACGAUGGACAACUACAUGGGGAACAAGACACUCACCCCCAGCAAUGCAUACCACUUACAAACUCUAUUCCAGAUUCUACAUUAUUUUUUAUGGAAUUUACCUCUUAUAUUUUGAUGCCAAAAAAUUAUUCUGGACUGAUAUUUUGCACUGUUUAGCUCAUUUUACACUGCUGACUGUGGUCAUGUGCAAUAAAAUAGAUUGCAGUCAACUGCACAAUUC